UCCGUGUACCACAGCUCCUUUAACACAA
This 28-nucleotide non-coding RNA is filed under the name Rattus norvegicus (Norway rat). Lineage: Eukaryota; Metazoa; Chordata; Mammalia; Rodentia; Muridae. The record is from RNAcentral.